RNAcentral lists this ribosomal RNA (763 nucleotides) under Enterobacter sp. DHL-06. RNAcentral's name for it is "bacterial SSU rRNA". It matches the Rfam family "Bacterial small subunit ribosomal RNA", at positions 23 to 779 of the family's 1533-position model. Lineage: Bacteria; Pseudomonadati; Pseudomonadota; Gammaproteobacteria; Enterobacterales; Enterobacteriaceae. The record is from RNAcentral.
GUCAGAUGAACGCUGGCGGCAGGCCUAACACAUGCAAGUCGAACGGUAGCACAGAGAGCUUGCUCUCGGGUGACGAGUGGCGGACGGGUGAGUAAUGUCUGGGAAACUGCCUGAUGGAGGGGGAUAACUACUGGAAACGGUAGCUAAUACCGCAUAACGUCGCAAGACCAAAGAGGGGGACCUUCGGGCCUCUUGCCAUCAGAUGUGCCCAGAUGGGAUUAGCUAGUAGGUGGGGUAACGGCUCACCUAGGCGACGAUCCCUAGCUGGUCUGAGAGGAUGACCAGCCACACUGGAACUGAGACACGGUCCAGACUCCUACGGGAGGCAGCAGUGGGGAAUAUUGCACAAUGGGCGCAAGCCUGAUGCAGCCAUGCCGCGUGUAUGAAGAAGGCCUUCGGGUUGUAAAGUACUUUCAGCGGGGAGGAAGGUGUUGUGGUUAAUAACCACAGCAAUUGACGUUACCCGCAGAAGAAGCACCGGCUAACUCCGUGCCAGCAGCCGCGGUAAUACGGAGGGUGCAAGCGUUAAUCGGAAUUACUGGGCGUAAAGCGCACGCAGGCGGUCUGUCAAGUCGGAUGUGAAAUCCCCGGGCUCAACCUGGGAACUGCAUUCGAAACUGGCAGGCUAGAGUCUUGUAGAGGGGGGUAGAAUUCCAGGUGUAGCGGUGAAAUGCGUAGAGAUCUGGAGGAAUACCGGUGGCGAAGGCGGCCCCCUGGACAAAGACUGACGCUCAGGUGCGAAAGCGUGGGGAGCAACAGGAUA